Molecule: ribosomal RNA, 497 nt
Filed under: uncultured bacterium
Lineage: Bacteria
Description: partial 16S ribosomal RNA
Rfam family: Bacterial small subunit ribosomal RNA
Source: RNAcentral
GAUGAACGCUGGCGGCGUGCCUAAUACAUGCAAGUCGAGCGAACGGACGAGAAGCUUGCUUCUCUGAUGUUAGCGGCGGACGGGUGAGUAACACGUGGAUAACCUACCUAUAAGACUGGGAUAACUUCGGGAAACCGUAGCUAAUACCGGAUAAUAUUUUGAACCGCAUGGUUCAAAAGUGAAAGACGGUCUUGCUGUCACUUAUAGAUGGAUCCGCGCUGCAUUAGCUAGUUGGUAAGGUAACGGCUUACCAAGGCAACGAUGCAUAGCCGACCUGAGAGGGUGAUCGGCCACACUGGAACUGAGACACGGUCCAGACUCCUACGGGAGGCAGCAGUAGGGAAUCUUCCGCAAUGGGCGAAAGCCUGACGGAGCAACGCCGCGUGAGUAAUGAAGGUCUUCGGAUCGUAAAACUCUGUUAUUAGGGAAGAACAUAUGUGUAAGUAACUGUGCACAUCUUGACGGUACCUAAUCAGAAAGCCACGGCUAACUACGUG